Molecule: long non-coding RNA, 1684 nt
Organism: Heterocephalus glaber (naked mole-rat)
Lineage: Eukaryota; Metazoa; Chordata; Mammalia; Rodentia; Bathyergidae
Source: Ensembl
GAGCCUCAGGUUGGGCUUGAUGCGGAUACGGCAGGGGCCUGGUUCUCAAGGUGUCUCCACUCCUCACUGCUGCCCAGUGCUUGCUGUACCAAUAGGUGCCCCACGAGGGCCUCCCAGAAACGUCCCGAUUAGCGCUCACAGCAAGAAUGGUCUAAGUAGCACUGGUCGGUUACAGUAAUAAGACACAGAGACGCGUCAGAGGUCACUCAACUCAGUAAGAGUAUACAUGGAGUCAGAGCCAAAGUCGUAUGGUCGCAAUCACUGGCCAGAAGUCCCUACACUCGGAGGAAAGAGGCUGGUUCGCUGUAUUCGAAGCGAAACCGCCUUUGGCUGAGUUUGUCUGGUACACACGCGGGGUGGGCCGAUCAGAGAAGGGCCCUAAAGGAGGUGGCUUAGUCAGGACUCAAAGGACUAAAAUCCUCAUUCUGCAAAUACUUCAACGAGUACCUGCCAUGCGCUCUGUUGCAUGCGCCGGGGACAGAACUGAACGAAGUCCUCGCACUUGUGGACAUGCGUGGCAGGGGUAAUACCAGGCCUCCUGUACCUUCAGAGUUGUUCUGCUCCUCCUGCUCUGGGGUUUCUCUCCCAGGUGCAAAUUCCUAAACUUCUGGGAAAUAAAAAGGAAAGGCCUUGCUCCAACACACCCUGCAGGGGUUGAGGACGCAGUUUAAGGUGGUGUGUGUUAGCACUUGCAAGGCACACGCACACACACACACUGCACCCUCCUAUUCUGGAAGUCCUUCCUAACGUCUACCCAGCAUUUCUUCUGCUUCCACAGACUUUCCUUCAUCCGAUUUCACUACUCCUUCCGUAGCGGUAAGCCUCCGGCCGGCCGCGCCUGGCCCUUUAAGGCUGCCUGCUUCCCCCACGUGCCGUUUGGUUGGGCGGGCGACGCUGACGCACGCGUGACGUCAAUGGCAGCUGGCGGAGUCUGGGCACGAGGAGCGAAGUUGAAUGGGGGUGGGGGACCCAGGAAAGAAGGCGGCUCAUUUGCAUUUAAAGGGGCCACUCCGAGUUAGCGAUCAGGGCUUUAAAGAAAUGUCGGCAAACUUUCCGUCCUGGGCUGCCGAGCCAGAAAAAGGCGUGGUGCAGGAUCUGGGACCCAAGGUCUGAAGGCUGCAUUCCCAAGCCUGUUCCUAAGAAGUCUUUUCCAGCAGCUUUGGAUGUCUCCAGUCUCAACAUUCUGCUUUCCCGACGUCGGAAACAGCCAGAAAAUAAACACCCUGAUGACUAAACGGUUUCUCCAGCUAGAGCCUGGGGAAGCACUAAAAAUAGAGGCCACAAGUGAGGGGAGGUUCCCCACUGGUGGAGGCACUUUCCCAUCCUGCGACUGCCACAACCUCAACCCUGGCACAGGCUCUGGCUUUCCAAGUCCUUGGGGAAGGGAUGGAUGUGCUCCUCCUACCUACCUUGAAGUCUUUGGGGCAAGCUAGCCCUGCCUGGCAGGGAGCCCCGACAUCCUCUGCUGUUGGCCCCAUCUCCCAUACCAACAAGGAACUGAGAAGCUGCAUUUGGGGACAAAGCGGGACACUAAAAAUCAGGCUUCCUGAAAGAGGGACCAGGUAGAAGUGUUGGAAACUGAGGCCAAGGAAAGAGGAGUAAGCUGGCUUCCUGUCCAAAGAGAUCCGACCUAUCAGUAGAACAAUCUGCGGAACUUGCCUCCCGGGUAGGCCUAGGGGGUCUU